GACGAACGCUGGCGGCGUGCUUAACACAUGCAAGUCGAACGGAAAGGCCCUGCUUUUGUGGGGUGCUCGAGUGGCGAACGGGUGAGUAACACGUGAGUAACCUGCCCUUGACUUUGGGAUAACUUCAGGAAACUGGGGCUAAUACCGGAUAGGAGCUCCUGCUGCAUGGUGGGGGUUGGAAAGUUUCGGCGGUUGGGGAUGGACUCGCGGCUUAUCAGCUUGUUGGUGGGGUAGUGGCUUACCAAGGCUUUGACGGGUAGCCGGCCUGAGAGGGUGACCGGCCACAUUGGGACUGAGAUACGGCCCAGACUCCUACGGGAGGCAGCAGUGGGGAAUAUUGCACAAUGGGCGGAAGCCUGAUGCAGCAACGCCGCGUGCGGGAUGACAGUCUUCGGGUUGUAAACCGCUUUCGCCUGUGACGAAGCGUGAGUGACGGUAAUGGGUAAAGAAGCACCGGCUAACUACGUG
This 468-nucleotide ribosomal RNA is filed under the name uncultured bacterium. RNAcentral's name for it is "partial 16S ribosomal RNA". It matches the Rfam family "Bacterial small subunit ribosomal RNA", at positions 28 to 507 of the family's 1533-position model. The record is from RNAcentral.